CCUACGGGAGGCAGCAGUGAGGAAUAUUGGUCAAUGGACGAGAGUCUGAACCAGCCAAGUAGCGUGAAGGAUGACUGCCCUAUGGGUUGUAAACUUCUUUUAUAUGGGAAUAAAACGUUCCACGUGUGGGAUUUUGUAUGUACCAUAUGAAUAAGGAUCGGCUAACUCCGUGCCAGCAGCCGCGGUAAUACGGAGGAUCCGAGCGUUCUCCGGAUUUAUUGGGUUUAAAGGGAGCGUAGGUGAAUUGUUAAGUCAGUUGUGAAAGUUUGCGGCUCAACCGUAAAAUUGCAGUUGAAACUGGCAGUCUUGAGUACAGUAGAGGUGGGCGGAAUUCGUGGUGUAGCGGUGAAAUGCUUCGAUAUCACGAAGAACUCCGAUUGCGAAGGCAGUUCACUGGACUGCAACUGACACUGAGGCUCGAAAGUGUGGGUAUCAAACAGGAUUAGAUACCCGUGUAGUC
Molecule: ribosomal RNA, 460 nt
Filed under: uncultured bacterium
Lineage: Bacteria
Description: partial 16S ribosomal RNA
Rfam family: Bacterial small subunit ribosomal RNA
Source: RNAcentral